Lutra lutra (Eurasian river otter) is the source of this 2962-nucleotide long non-coding RNA. RefSeq lists it as uncharacterized. The record is from RefSeq and is a predicted model, not a curated record. The transcript is spliced from 4 exons. Lineage: Eukaryota; Metazoa; Chordata; Mammalia; Carnivora; Mustelidae.
CCAAUGGCUUUUUGGUUUUAUGAGUAAAUGCCACUGGCAUGACAUUAAGUAAGUGGCCUCAGAAAGCCCUCAGCCAGGGCUAUAACCUAUUAUCAUCAGGUUAUAGAGGAGCUGUCUCUUGAGGAGAGCAAAAGAUGGAGGUGUAAACUUUUCAUCCGACCUGGCCCAUUGCUUUAGCUGCUCACUGGUGACCUGGUCUCCAAGACCUUUCCAAACAUCUGCUACAUCUUUUCCCAGAUCACAGAAAGAGGUAGCAGACUGGAUUUGGCCCAUGAGCCCUAUUUGCAAAUCCCUACCCUACAUCUUUGGACAGAAUGAACACCAGAGGAAGACAGAGGGACAUAUCUAAAAUCCUUCCUGCUGUGAAGAAUGAUACUGUCGGUUUUUCUGAGCAAUCGUCCUGAGAUUUUCAGACUUCUCUUUAAGUACGUAUUGUGGUCACUGCUGGACUCCAGAAUUGCUGAAAUGCUGAUACGGUGUUGUGCUCAUUCCUCUUCCCCAUUAACUGUGCUCUCUGAGUAUCUCUAGCUCAAAGGAGGACAGGGAGGAAUCUCUUAAUGGAAGCAUGUCAAGCAGUGCCACAGCCCGUUUGGAAUUUAAAAUUAUCCAUGAAUAAUUCACAAAGCAUGUAACCCAUGUGCAGAUCCUUGGGAACUGAUGCUUCUGAGAGGUGCCUGCACGGUCAGCCAAGCAGCCUUCCAACAACAGGAACAACAACGGAAUGAUUACAGAAGUGCGUCCUCAAUUCUUGGCAUCAGUUCACGGUUAAUGAAGGCAAGAGCGCUGUAGGUUGACUCUGAGUCCAAAGGUAUUCUCAGACUGGAAAAACAGAGUCUCUUGGAAAGGAAAACCUGAACUGUUCCUACAGGCCAAGAUGACUCGCACAUGUCCAGAGAUACCUAGAGCAGGCAUCCAGGACUGAACUUUCUUACCCAAACAAAAGGGUUCUGAGAUCAAACCCGCCAUUUUUAAUUUAGAAGACAAAGAAAUCAGGGCAAAGCUCACUCUCAGAUGGGUAAAUACGUUGGAGGACCCUGAGCUGACUUCAGCACCCUUAUUCAAAAGCCUGGCAUUAUGAGCAAGAGGGUUAAUGUUGGCUCCCCUCAUAGGAGUGGGCUUCCCUGGGAGCCCCAGCUCUGUUUCAUCCAGAAGCUCCAAGCCCCCUGGGGACUGGCAAUGGGAAGUAACCACAAUCCUGUGCUUUGGAGGAACUUUCACAGACUGAACUUCGCCUGACUUAACUAUAGGGAUGCUUAGUUUUCCUGUAUCAGUUAAUGAAGUAUAGAUCUGAGCAUUUUCAACCAAGGAAAGAAAGACCCUCUUGGGCUAAAGGCAGCUUUCAAGGUGGAAAACCAAAUGGGGUAUGAGAAGUGUCAGAUCUCUUGUCUUUAAUUAAGAAGACAGCUAAACGACGAAUCUUGGAAUACUGAAAAAAUUAAAUUAAAUUUAAAAAAAGGAAAAAGAAAAAGACAGCUAGACCCUCACAAGCUGUUCAUUUUCAGGGGAUUUCAUAGGUCCCUGGCCAGAAACCAACCCGGAUCAUAGAAAGAGCAACCUCCCCUCCCCUUUAAAGGAUUUUCUUUUAAAGAAAGAGCUUUAGUCAUCUGGGUUUUGUCUAUCCAAAGAAUAUUCUUUCUUGUCCUGAAGUUAGCAUAAAAGAAUGUGCCGCCAGGUUAUCUGAGAGGCCCUGGGGACAUGCCCACUGUUCCCAUGCUACGAUCUCUAACUGUGGAGCCCAGUAAGAUGCCACAUUCACUCCACCUCCCAAGGCCUUCUGUCUUCAGGUGGCAGAACAGCAGUGAACACAGAACUUAAUUGCAAGUCAUUCCUCACUUCACUGUUAAAGCCAAGGAAAUCUGGCAUCAGAGCCCUGGAUUUAUGAGUCGGGAAAUGGUGACGAGAAAAGUGAAAGGGGGAGGAAUUUAAAACACUGCAAGUCACCUGAUAUUGUUGCUCAUGCGGGAUGUUGCCAUGGCAUUUUCUGUUAAAUGUUUUCCUCUUGGUUCGUUGUGAUAUUCUCUCCACUUCUGUGUGCAGAGAGCCCCACUAACAAAAAGCAAGUGAAGUAUUAGAUAUCAUCCCCAUUAAGGGGGGGCAUAGCAGCGGCAAUGGGACCUACACAAUGGCUUCGCCCAUCGUGGAAAUGCAAACCUGUGUCCAACACGCUAUUUCUGAUCUUGAUCAAGGACCCAUUCCACCCAUUAUAAUAGGUUAUGGGGGUAAGUAUGCACUGCUAACAGGUCACUGCUGAUCCCUCCUUUUUUCUCAACAAGAAAAACAAAGAAUUUCCAAUUACUCCCCCCACCCCCCACCAUUGGACAAGUGCCCAGUGGCUCCCUGGGGACUCUGCUAGUGACUGUGGCAGAGUUCAUUCUUCCCUUGGCCGAGCCCUCCUUUGUGGCUGCUGAGUUGCCAAGCUCUGACCACUCUUCCUCCACGUCUUCUUGCAUUAAUCCCUUUCUUUCUGCUGCAAUUGUCCUUGGUGAAGUUCUCAUGUUUUCUCUGCUGGGCUUUGCUAUCUCUUCCCACUGGUUUCCCAGUAAUUGUAUCUAACCACCAUAAUCCAUUUUACGUGUGACUUUCAGUUUAGCCUUCCCGAUGAAUGCCCCCGAUCCUGUCACUCUUCCAUUCAAACACUCUUGGUGAAGAUCUGUUGCCCACUGGUCAGAGUCCAAACACAGUGCCUACUGCACUGCCUACUGACCAAAGUCCAGCAAAUAAAUGGCCAGCUUUGUUCAUAAAGAUUAAGUUGUCCAAUGACUCCCAAGUUACCCUGUGAAUAAAGGACCAAGAUCCAGAAAACUCCUCCCCUUCAUGGAACCCGUGGACCUGAAGUGGACUGCACUGGUGCUACCCACAUGGGUUUCUUUCCUAUAUAUGUUCCUCAUCACAACCAGGGAGUCCUUUCCGACAUCUCCCCUGAGUUAUCUCUCAGGCCCUUGAAAUCUGCUACCUCUAACUG